GGAGAGGUGGCUGAGUGGUUCAUAGCGCCGGUCUUGAAAACCGGUAUAGGUUUCUAGCCUAUCGAGGGUUCGAAUCCCUCUCUCUCCU
Molecule: transfer RNA, 88 nt
Filed under: Tiquilia plicata
Lineage: Eukaryota; Viridiplantae; Streptophyta; Magnoliopsida; Boraginales; Ehretiaceae
Description: tRNA-Ser
Rfam family: tRNA
About the family: Transfer RNA (tRNA) molecules are approximately 80 nucleotides in length.
Source: RNAcentral